Molecule: ribosomal RNA, 440 nt
Filed under: uncultured bacterium
Lineage: Bacteria
Description: partial 16S ribosomal RNA
Rfam family: Bacterial small subunit ribosomal RNA
Source: RNAcentral
CCUACGGGUGGCUGCAGUGGGGAAUAUUGCACAAUGGGGGGAACCCUGAUGCAGCAACGCCGCGUGGGUGAAGAAGUACUUCGGAUUGUAAAGUCCUGUCAGCAGGGAAGAAAAUGACGGUAUCUGACCAAGAAGCCCCGGCUAACUACGUGCCAGCAGCCGCGGUAAUACGUAGGGGGCAAGCGUUAUCCGGAUUUACUGGGUGUAAAGAGCGCGUAGACGGCAAGGCAAGUCUGGAGUGAAAGCCCGUGGCCUAACCAUGGGACUGCAUUGGAAACUGUGUUGCUGGAGUGCAGGAGGGGUAAGUGGAAUUCCUGGUGUAGCGGUGAAAUGCGUAGAUAUUAGGAGGAACACUGGUGGCGAAGGCGGCUUACUGGACUGUAACUGACGUUGAGGCGCGAAGGCGUGGGGAGCAAACAGGAUUAGAUACCCGAGUAGUC